GACGAACGCUGGCGGCGUGCUUAACACAUGCAAGUCGAACGAAGAGCGAUGGAAGCUUGCUUCUAUCAAUCUUAGUGGCGCACGGGUGAGUAACGCGUAAUCAACCUGCCCUUCAGAGGGGGACAACAGUUGGAAACGACUGCUAAUACCGCAUACGAUCUAAUCUCGGCAUCGAGGAUAGAUGAAAGGUGGCCUCUACAUGUAAGCUAUCACUGAAGGAGGGGAUUGCGUCUGAUUAGCUAGUUGGAGGGGUAACGGCCCACCAAGGCGAUGAUCAGUAGCCGGUCUGAGAGGAUGAACGGCCACAUUGGGACUGAGACACGGCCCAGACUCCUACGGGAGGCAGCAGUGGGGAAUCUUCCGCAAUGGACGAAAGUCUGACGGAGCAACGCCGCGUGAGUGAUGACGGCCUUCGGGUUGUAAAGCUCUGUUAAUCGGGACGAAAGGCCUUCUUGCGAAUAGUGAGAAGGAUUGACGGGACCGGAAUAGAAAGCCACGGCUAACUACGU
Molecule: ribosomal RNA, 509 nt
Filed under: uncultured bacterium
Lineage: Bacteria
Description: partial 16S ribosomal RNA
Rfam family: Bacterial small subunit ribosomal RNA
Source: RNAcentral